Molecule: ribosomal RNA, 254 nt
Filed under: uncultured bacterium
Lineage: Bacteria
Description: partial 16S ribosomal RNA
Rfam family: Bacterial small subunit ribosomal RNA
Source: RNAcentral
UACGUAGGGGGCGAGCGUUGUCCGGAUUUAUUGGGCGUAAAGAGCUCGUAGGCGGUUCGAUAAGUCGGACGUGAAAUCUCCACGCUCAACGUGGAGGGGCCGUUCGAUACCGUCGUGACUCGAGUCCGGUAGGGGAGUGUGGAAUUCCCGGUGUAGCGGUGAAAUGCGCAGAGAUCGGGAGGAACACCCGUAGCGAAGGCGGCACUCUGGGCCGGUACUGACGCUGAGGAGCGAAAGCGUGGGGAGCAAACAGG